GAUGAACGCUGGCGGCGUGCUUAACACAUGCAAGUCGAGSGAAGCACUUACCAUUGACUCUUCGGAAGAUUUGGUAAAUGACUGAGCGGCGGACGGGKGAGUAACGCGKGGGUAACCUGCCUCAUACAGGGGAAUAACAGUUAGAAAUGGCUGCUAAUGCCGCAUAAGCGCACAGUACCGCAUGGUACGGUGUGAAAAACCGAGGUGGUAUGAGAUGGACCCGCGUCUGAUUAGGUAGUUGGUGGGGUAACGGCCUACCAAGCCGACGAUCAGUAGCCGGCCUGAGAGGGUGAACGGCCACAUUGGGACUGAGACACGGCCCAGACUCCUACGGGAGGCAGCAGUGGGGAAUAUUGCACAAUGGGGGAAACCCKGGUGCAGCGACGCCGCGUGAAGGAAGAAGUAUCUCGGUA
RNAcentral lists this ribosomal RNA (413 nucleotides) under uncultured bacterium. Its description in RNAcentral is "bacterial SSU rRNA". It matches the Rfam family "Bacterial small subunit ribosomal RNA", at positions 28 to 423 of the family's 1533-position model. The record is from RNAcentral.